CGCGUAGGCGGCCCGGUAAGUCCGCUCUGAAAGUCCAGGGCUCAACCCUGGAAAGCGGGUGGAUACUGCCGGGCUAGAAUCCGGAAGAGGCGAGUGGAAUUCCUGGUGUAGCGGUGGAAUGCGCAGAUAUCAGGAGGAACACCAAUAGCGAAGGCAGCUCGCUGGGACGGUAUUGACGCUGAGGCGCGAAAGCGUGGGAGCAAACA
Molecule: ribosomal RNA, 206 nt
Filed under: uncultured bacterium
Lineage: Bacteria
Description: partial 16S ribosomal RNA
Rfam family: Bacterial small subunit ribosomal RNA
Source: RNAcentral